CCUACGGGAGGCAGCAGUCGAGAAUCAUUCACAAUGGGGGAAACCCUGAUGGUGCGACGCCGCGUGGGGGAAUGAAGGUCUUCGGAUUGUAAACCCCUGUCAUGUGGGAGCAAAUUAAAAAGAUAGUACCACAAGAGGAAGAGACGGCUAACUCUGUGCCCGCAGCCGCGGUAAUACAGCGGUCUCAAGCGUUGUUCGGAAUCACUGGGCGUAAAGCGUGCGUAGGCGGUUUCGUAAGUCGUGUGUGAAAGGCGCGGGCUCAACCCGCGGCCGGCACAUGAUACUGCGAGACUAGAGUACUGAAGGGGGAAGCGGAAGUCGCGGUGUAGCAGUGAAAUGCGUAGAUAUCGGGAGGAACACUCGUGGCGAAGGCGGGUUCCUGGACAUUAACUGACGCUGAGGCACGAAGGCCAGGGUAGCGAAAGGGAUUAGAUACCCUUGUAGUC
Molecule: ribosomal RNA, 446 nt
Filed under: uncultured bacterium
Lineage: Bacteria
Description: partial 16S ribosomal RNA
Rfam family: Bacterial small subunit ribosomal RNA
Source: RNAcentral